UACACACCGCCCGUCACACCAUGGGAGUUGGUUCUACCUGAAGGCAGUGCGCUAACCCGCAAGGGGGGCAGCUAACCACGGUAGGGUCAGCGACUGGGGUG
RNAcentral lists this ribosomal RNA (101 nucleotides) under uncultured bacterium. Its description in RNAcentral is "partial 16S ribosomal RNA". It matches the Rfam family "Bacterial small subunit ribosomal RNA", at positions 1384 to 1482 of the family's 1533-position model. The record is from RNAcentral.